GGGUGAUUGGUUGUCUGAAUGCUCUUCGUACAAUCCAAGUGAACAAAAAUGAUUCUUUGGCUAUAUUUGACCUGUGCAGUAGCAGUUCUCAAAGGGGCCCAGUCUCAAAUCCGGUUGGUGGAGUCUGGAGGGGAUGUGAAACGGCCUGGCGAGUCUCUCCGUCUAUCCUGCAGAGCCUCCGGCAUCAAUUUGAUUGACUAUUCCAUGGGCUGGGUGAGACAGGCUCCAGGGAAAGGUCUGGAAUGGAUUUCCCAUAUCGAUCCAAAUUCAUCUAGCAUUAAGUACUCGGACAAAGUCAAGGGGCGCUUCACCAUCUCCAGGGACAAUGACAACAAUCAGCUGUAUCUGCAGAUGAAUGGCUUCAAAGAAGAGGACAGCGCACACUAUUAUUGUGCGAGUUACACAGCGAGAGGAAGUGAAUCUGAUGCCCAGCAAAAACCCAGAAAUAGGAGCCUCUCUCUUUCCUCUUAAGAAAGAAGCCUACAGAUCAACCUAUUGAUGGGAAACCAGCGACAUUUUCACUAGAAAAUAUACUAAAGAAAUAAAAUAGCAGUGACUGUGAGAGGGAUCUUGGAGUCUUGGUGGACAACCAGUUAAAUAUGAGCCAGCAGUGUGCAGCGACAGCCAAAAAAAGCCAGUGCAAUCCUAAAUUGCAUUAGCAGAGGGAUACAAUCAAGAUCA
Non-coding RNA from Pantherophis guttatus, 681 nucleotides. The record is from the annotation of a RefSeq genome assembly. Lineage: Eukaryota; Metazoa; Chordata; Lepidosauria; Squamata; Colubridae.